GUGCCACCAUCCACGGUAAUACUUACGGUGCGAGCCUUGUCCGGAAUUACUGGGCGUAAAGGGCUCGUAGGUGGUUUGUCGCGUCGUCUGUGAAUUCCGGGGCUUAACUCCGGGCGUGCAGGCGAUACGGGCAUAACUUGAGUACUGUAGGGGUAACUGGAAUUCCUGGUGUAGCGGUGAAAUGCGCAGAUAUCAGGAGGAACACCGAUGGCGAAGGCAGGUUACUGGGCAGUUACUGACGCUGAGGAGCGAAAGCAUGGGUAGCGAACAGGAUUAGAUACCCUGGUAGUCC
This 292-nucleotide ribosomal RNA is filed under the name uncultured microorganism. RNAcentral's name for it is "partial 16S ribosomal RNA". It matches the Rfam family "Bacterial small subunit ribosomal RNA", at positions 505 to 796 of the family's 1533-position model. The record is from RNAcentral.